GACGAACCCGUGCGAACGUUGUUCGGAAUCACUGGGCUUAAAGGGCGCGUAGGCGGCUUGCCAAGUCAGGGGUGAAAUCUUUCGGCUCAACCGGAAAAGUGCCUCUGAUACUGGCAAGCUCGAGGGAGGUAGGGGCAGCUGGAACUUCCGGUGGAGCGGUGAAAUGCGUUGAUAUCGGAAGGAACGCCGGUGGCGAAAGCGAGCUGCUGGAUCUCUUCUGACGCUGAGGCGCGAAAGCCAGGGGAGCAAACGGGAUU
Molecule: ribosomal RNA, 257 nt
Filed under: uncultured bacterium
Lineage: Bacteria
Description: partial 16S ribosomal RNA
Rfam family: Bacterial small subunit ribosomal RNA
Source: RNAcentral